CCGCCAGGUCCCGGGAGGGGGGCUCCCGGCGGGGCUCGGCGAGCAGCAGGUGCGGGGGGGCCGGGCCCCAGGUCCGCGUUGCUCGGGUCUGCGCCGCGGAGGGCGCGGUGGGCCCCCCAGAGGGCAGGGCGCGGCUUGGGGGAGGAACCGGGGCGGGACCCCGGCUGGCCCGGCCCGCGCCCCCAGCGCUCGGCCGCGGGGGUGGAGCCGCGCGGGGGCCCAGCGCGUCCCGGCUCCGUCCUCCCGGGGCCCGCCCGGUGGCUCCGCACGGGGGGCGGCCGGUCAGGCGCCGCUGCCCCUCCGCGCCCCGCUUCACGGCGCCCACCUGGAGAGCAGGGCAGGAUGUGCCUGUUUCUCCGUGUCUGGCCGCAGCUCCUCUUCGCAGCACAUCAGGGGACACAUCAGGGGACCCAUCAGGGGACGGGAACUUUGCCUUCCUCAUCUUCUCCAGGGCCUGAGAGGCUAAGAAAGUUGACAAAUUGGUAGUGACCUCUGGUGGGGGUGGGGGGGCAGGGGGGUGGAUCUGAUUUGACUUGACGUGCCCUACAGGAAACCUUUGAGCUCCGAAAACAGGGUUGGCCUUCUGGAGUCAGAGUUCUUGGUUUCUGAUAAGGGGAAAACAAUGUCAGAGCCAAGGGUCACUCUGCGAGAAUCAGCAUUUCCGUUUGAACGAUCCCUAGAAGAAGCAGGAGCUAAAGAAAGAGUCACCCUGCUUGCUAACAGGUCGUCCCCACCUGUCUGAGGGCACACAGCUAGUGGCACUGCCCGCCAGAGCAGUUUCCCUUGUUCCUAAGUGGAGAUUCCUGUUGCUAAUAUGGAAAGGAAAGGUCACAGGGUUGCUCGUGUGACUGUUGCAAUUUAAGCAGCUCUUUGUAAAUAAGCGAUUCCCAGCCAUUGUAAAGGAGAGCAGGACUAAGGCCUGCGUGUCACGUUGUAUCUGUUCUAAAAAGAUAAAAUAAGGUAAGCGGGACAAAGCCACCAAGGCCUCCGAUUGGUUUUUCUUUUUCUUUUUUUUUCUUGUAUUUUUAAAAUUUUGUUCGAUUUGCCAACAUAUAGUUUAACACCCAGUGCUCAUCCCGUCAAGUGCCCCCCCCCCAGUGAGAUUGAUUUUUCAUUUUAAUUGAAAGGAGUUGUGGGGCACCCCGGGGGGACUCAGAGGCUGAGCCUCUGCCUCCGGCCCAGGCCCAGGGGUCCUGAGAUGCAGGCCCUUGAUCCCGGGGUCCUGGGAUCGAGUCCUGCAUCCGCUCCUCACAGGGAGCCUUCUUCUCCUUUUACCUGUGUCUCUGCCCCUCUCUCUGCGUCUCUCACGAAUACAUAAAUUAAAAAAAAUUUUUUUUAAGAGUCUGAUUAAAAGGAGUUGAGAGGUGACUCAUUUACAAAGUUGAGAAGUAAAACUAAGCCUCCUUAAUUGUGCUGUUGUAUAUGCUGAACUACAAAUCUUUAUAAAAUAACACUGAUAGUGAUGAUAAAGCUAAAUUUUAUUGAAUAUUGU
Molecule: long non-coding RNA, 1492 nt
Filed under: Canis lupus familiaris (dog)
Lineage: Eukaryota; Metazoa; Chordata; Mammalia; Carnivora; Canidae
Description: lncRNA (ENSCAFG00000050803.1)
Source: RNAcentral